RNAcentral lists this non-coding RNA (23 nucleotides) under Arabidopsis thaliana (thale cress). Lineage: Eukaryota; Viridiplantae; Streptophyta; Magnoliopsida; Brassicales; Brassicaceae. The record is from RNAcentral.
GAUAAGGUGAUCAACUGUCAUAC